Homo sapiens (human) is the source of this 2529-nucleotide long non-coding RNA. RefSeq lists it as uncharacterized. The record is from RefSeq and is a predicted model, not a curated record. Lineage: Eukaryota; Metazoa; Chordata; Mammalia; Primates; Hominidae. The transcript is spliced from 2 exons.
GGGAAACAGGCUGCCCGAGGGCUCCAUAGCCGCCACGCGGAGCCGCCAGGGCUGCCCUUCCUGCGCUGGGAACCGGCUGCUCCAGGCUAGACAGCCCCCUCCCUGCGUGCAGGGCGAGCGAGGGGGAGCGCCGGGACCGGAGCCUGCCCUGCCCGCAGGACCGCCCCAUACGCGGCGGCAGCCCCACAACAGCUCCCGCCCGCCUCCUCUCCUCCUCCCUCCGCGGGUCCGGCCCUCGGCGCCUCCCCACCCUCGCUCCCCACCCGGCCGGCUCAGCUGUCCCUGCGCAGGGCUACUGACGCUCAAGCGUCGCUCCUGGCACCACAUGGAACCCUCAGCAAACCCCAUGAAGUCCUAUACCAUGAAGGCCUCAUACAGACCAGGAGCCUGAGGCGCCGCCUGCUGUCCCGCACGCUGCCAUCUGAGCCCAGGUGGCCUCCAGUGUAGUUACCUCAGCCCACAGCAAGGCACAGUGAACCAGCCUGGCCCCGGGCCACUGGGCAGGCCACCCAGGUCCAUGCUGGGAAGCCCGCGGACAACAAGAGGGCCGGGCCCACCCCAGCCUCCUGCUCUCCAGCCCCACACCUCAAAAACGUGCGGCCGAGGGAAAUGCCUGCAGUGGCCCACUCUGGGCGGCCAGGGGUCGGGCGGGCCCAGGCAGCCCUGAGGGUCAGGGAUACCCAGGCAUGCCAGAAAGGGCCCAACUCCCAGCUGAGCCCAGGACAGCAUCUGGCCAGCAGUGGGCAGGGGCCGACAGGCCGGACGUUUCAGCCCACUCCCUGCCACGUGCUGGGGAAGCCUCAGAGGAGCCUGACUCAAUGGCCUGGGUGAGAACCAGCUCCUGGCGGGAGGAGUGCCCCAGGCUGGCAGCGGGCAGUUCUUCUACCACUCCACGGAGGUCCGGACAGGCCUGUGCUUCCGGGACACACAUCACACACACCCCUGGGGCAGCUCCGAGAGGGGGCUGUGCCUAUCCCUGCAUCCCAGGUCUGACGGCACAGAACGGUGGACAACGGGAAGAGACAGGUCUGCCAGAGGCGGCCCCGGCCCUCUCCUCUGCCUCCCACAGCCCCCAGCUCUGCCUGCCCUACCUUGGCCCAGCUGAAUCAGCUCCUCCAUGCUGUACCUGUCCAUGGCUGCCACACAGGCCAGGCUGCUCCGAGAGCCGGCAGGGAGGAAGGCGAGGCAGGAAGGAGGGAAGGGGUGGGAGGCAGAGGGAGGGCCCACUCAUGCCCUGGUAGCAGCGGCUCCUCCUCGCAGCCACCCCUUAGUCAGUAAGCAGAGAUGAAGCCCAGCCGACUGACGGGUCAGACCAGCCCAGCAGACCUGCCUGGGGGUGCAGGGGACUGGCCUGCCUGCAAUCCCAGAGAGCCCUCCGGCCCCAGCCCACGGGUCUUCCCUACUGUUCCUGCCCCGCCCAGCAGACCCCCCGCCCAGCAGACCCCACCCUGUAGCCUCCCCUUCCCGCUGCAGGCCCCACCAGCCCAGCCCUGCCCUCCCACCCUCCCACCCACAUUCCAGGCAUCCAUGUGCCCAGCGGUAUUUCAGGAGCCAGGCGGGAGCAGAGCCCCAAACUGCCCACCACACCCCACUCCUUGAGACUCACAUUCCUCAGCCCCAAAGGUGGUCUCUUCCUCCACCUGAGUCCUCCCCAACCAGCACAGCCCCAGGCAUCUGUCCAGGGGCAAUGGUGACACCUGCCUCCCCUCUCCAUACCUCUCCACCCAGGUGCUUGCUGACCAGUGAAGUGCAAAUCAAAUCCCAUCGUAACUACCCCUUAGAAGCCUGCCGGCGAUCUACAGAAAUCCCGCAAACGGGUGACUCGGCCAAGCCAGUGAUCCCUGUGGAAAGCUGGCCGGGCCAUAGUCCCUCCACCUAGAGCACCCUGUGGCUGGGAAGAAGGGCAAGGCAGCCAGGCCACCUCCAGGCUUCCUCCUUGACGCAGGGCCACAGAGGGUCAAGGGGGGAGGUCAAGGCACAGGCGUGUCCUCCGUGUAGAGGGGAAGUCAUGGUGGCUACCCAACCCCUGCCCUUUGCUGUGGGAAGCAGCUCUAGGUGCUGUGCGUGUACAGCGCUCACCGUGGUGGCGGCUACCUGGCCCCUGCCCGUUGCUGGUGCAUGGACAGCGCUCAGCUGGCGUCUCCUCCACACAAUCCUCGGUUCCUUCAGAAUUUUGAGCCAGGCAAAGCAUCGCCAUUUGCAAUGUAAAUUAGGGCUGGGCGGUAGCUAUAAUCCCAGCACUUUGGGAGGCUGAGGCAGGCGGAUCACCUGAGGUCAGGACUUCAAGACCAGCCUGGCCAACAUGGCGAAACCCCGUCUCUACUAAAAAAAAAAAACAAAAAUUAGCCAGGCAUGGUGGCUCAUGCCUGUAAUCCCAGCUACUCAGGAGGCUGAGACAGGAGAAUCGCUUCAACCCGGGAGGCGGAGGUUGCAGUGAGCCAAGACUGUGCUAUUGCACUCCAGCCUGGGCAACAGAGCGGGACUCCAUCUCAAAACAAUAAGUAAAAUAAAAAUGAAACGUAAAUGAAA